UAAUGCAUUAGAAUUAGAAUCUAAUUA
Molecule: transfer RNA, 27 nt
Filed under: Cyrtocarenum cunicularium
Lineage: Eukaryota; Metazoa; Arthropoda; Arachnida; Araneae; Ctenizidae
Description: partial tRNA-Leu
Source: RNAcentral